GUAAGCUGAAGUGCAGUUAACGGUGAAUUUCACUGAGGAAACUCCAUCCACUAUAUAAAACCAUGAUGUUCUUAAUUGACAUACACUGAGAAGUGUGAUACUGAUAUAGAAACGAUACGAUAGAUCUUAAUCUGGUUUUGAAAGAUGAUACAAUUAGGUUGAUGAUGCCAAACAUAGAUAAUCGAUGAAACGAUCAAUCCAUGGAGUGCAAAAGUAAAUAUUGUCAUUUAUGGUGAUAGAGAAUAUUAUUCUCUUAGAGUUUAUGUUCUAUUGUUGUUAUAAUAUGACAAAAGGUAUCUUGCUAAGAUAAAUACUGCAAAAAACAUGAGGUGGGUUACUCUCAGCAUGC
Methanosphaera stadtmanae DSM 3091 is the source of this 349-nucleotide non-coding RNA. It matches the Rfam family "Archaeal RNase P". Rfam says of the family: Ribonuclease P (RNase P) is a ubiquitous endoribonuclease, found in archaea, bacteria and eukarya as well as chloroplasts and mitochondria. The record is from Rfam. Lineage: Archaea; Methanobacteriati; Methanobacteriota; Methanobacteria; Methanobacteriales; Methanobacteriaceae.